RNAcentral lists this ribosomal RNA (506 nucleotides) under uncultured bacterium. RNAcentral describes it as "partial 16S ribosomal RNA". It matches the Rfam family "Bacterial small subunit ribosomal RNA", at positions 30 to 523 of the family's 1533-position model. The record is from RNAcentral.
AUUGAACGCUGGCGGCAGGCUUAACGCAUGCAAGUCGAGCGGUAACAGAGAGAAGCUUGCUUCUCUGCUGACGAGCGGCGGACGGGUGAGUAAUGCCUAGGAAUCUGCCUAGUAGUGGGGGAUAACUUGCCGAAAGGUAAGCUAAUACCGCAUACGUCCUACGGGAGAAAGGAGGGGACCUUCGGGCCUUUCGCUAUUAGAUGAGCCUAGGUCGGAUUAGUUAGUUGGUGAGGUAAUGGCUCACCAAGACCGCGAUCCGUAACUGGUCUGAGAGGAUGAUCAGUCACACUGGAACUGAGACACGGUCCAGACUCCUACGGGAGGCAGCAGUGGGGAAUAUUGGACAAUGGGGGGAACCCUGAUCCAGCCAUGCCGCGUGUGUGAAGAAGGUCUUAGGAUUGUAAAGCACUUUAAGUGGGGAGGAAGAGCAGUUAACUAAUAUUUGACUGUUUUGACGUUACCGACAGAAUAAGCGCCGGCUAACUUCGUGCCAGCAGCCGCCGUAA